UGGGGAAUUUUGCGCAAUGGGGGAAACCCUGACGCAGCGACGCCUCGUGAGUGAUGAAGUCUUUCGGGAUGUAAAGCUCUGUCGGCAGGGACGAUUAUGACGGUACCUGCAAAGGAAGCUCCGGCUAACUACGUGCCAGCAGCCGCGGUAAUACGUAGGGAGCGAGCGUUGUCCGGAUUUAUUGGGCGUAAAGCGUGCGUAGGCUGUUCAGUAAGUUAGAUGUUAAAUGCAUGAGCUCAACUCAUGUUUGCCUCUAAUACUGCUGGACUGGAGGAUGGGAGAGGAAAGCGGAACUCACAGUGUAGCGGUGAAAUGCGUAGAUAUUGUGAGGAACACCUGUGGCGAAGGCGGCUUUCUGGACCAUUUCUGACGCUGAGGCACGAAAGCAUGGGGAGCAAGCAGG
RNAcentral lists this ribosomal RNA (403 nucleotides) under uncultured bacterium. Its description in RNAcentral is "bacterial SSU rRNA". It matches the Rfam family "Bacterial small subunit ribosomal RNA", at positions 355 to 776 of the family's 1533-position model. The record is from RNAcentral.